This 492-nucleotide ribosomal RNA is filed under the name uncultured bacterium. Its description in RNAcentral is "partial 16S ribosomal RNA". It matches the Rfam family "Bacterial small subunit ribosomal RNA", at positions 29 to 507 of the family's 1533-position model. The record is from RNAcentral.
AGUGAACGCUGGCGGUAGGCCUAACACAUGCAAGUCGAACGGCAGCACAGUAAGAUCUUGCUCUUACGGGUGGCGAGUGGCGGACGGGUGAGGAAUACAUCGGAAUCUACUUUUUCGUGGGGGAUAACGUAGGGAAACUUACGCUAAUACCGCAUACGACCUACGGGUGAAAGCAGGGGAUCUUCGGACCUUUCGCGAUUGAAUGAGCCGAUGUCGGAUUAGCUAGUUGGCGGGGUAAAGGCCCACCAAGGCGACGAUCCGUAGCUGGUCUGAGAGGAUGAUCAGCCACACUGGAACUGAGACACGGUCCAGACUCCUACGGGAGGCAGCAGUGGGGAAUAUUGGACAAUGGGCGAAAGCCUGACCCAGCCAUACCGCGUGAGUGAAGAAGGCCUUCGGGUUGUAAAGCCCUUUUGUUGGGAAAGAAAAGCAGCAGGUUAAUACCCCGCUGUUCUGACGGUACCCAAAGAAUAAGCACCGGCUAACUUCGUG